This 301-nucleotide ribosomal RNA is filed under the name uncultured bacterium. Its description in RNAcentral is "partial 16S ribosomal RNA". It matches the Rfam family "Bacterial small subunit ribosomal RNA", at positions 509 to 807 of the family's 1533-position model. The record is from RNAcentral.
CAGCCGCCGCGGUAAUACGAAGGGUGCAAGCGUUAAUCGGAAUUACUGGGCGUAAAGCGUGCGCAGGCGGUUUGUUAAGACAGAUGUGAAAUCCCCGGGCUCAACCUGGGAACUGCAUUUGAAACUGUCAGGCUGGAGUCUUGUAGAGGGGGGUGGAAUUCCAGGUGUAGCGGUGAAAUGCGUAGAGAUCUGGAGGAAUACCGGUGGCGAAGGCGGCCCCCUGGACAAAGGCUGACGCUCACGUGCGAAAGCGUGGGGAGCAAACAGGAUUAGAUACCCCGGUAGUCCCUGUCUCUUAUAC